Molecule: long non-coding RNA, 1864 nt
Filed under: Salmo salar (Atlantic salmon)
Lineage: Eukaryota; Metazoa; Chordata; Actinopteri; Salmoniformes; Salmonidae
Description: lncRNA (ENSSSAG00000091463.1)
Source: RNAcentral
AGAGAAGACAGAAGAGGGGGAGAGAAGAAGGGAAAGAAGACAGAAGAGGGGGAGAGCAGAGGGGACAAAAGAGGGGAGAGAAGACAGAAGAGGGGGAGAGAAGAGGGGAGAGAAGACAAAAGAGAGGGAGAGAAGAGGAGGAGAGAAGAGGGGAGAGAAGACAGAAGAGAGGGAGAGAAGAGGAGGAGAGGAGAGACGAGAAGGAGAGAAGAGAAGAGGAGGAGAGAAGGGGAGAGAAGAGAAGCAGAGAAGACAGAAGAGGGGGAGAGAAGAGAGGAGAGGGAUGUUCCACUGGAGGGAUGGACAGAGAGACAUUGAGAGGGAAGAAGAGAGAGAGAGAGGGAGAGGCAGGGAGGAAGAGAGAGAGACAGAGGGAGGUAAGGAAAUGGGGAAGAAGAGAGGGAGAGAGAGACUAAGUAUUGGUCAGGAUGAAUAAUAGAGGCUACAGUAAUCACAUCACAGAGAGGAUAAGUGUCUGUCUCACUCCCAGAAAACAGACCCUCUUUCUCCCUACCCCUCCCUCCAUCCCAUCUAUCCCUCCACCUCUAACCAACUCUCCCUCUCUCAGUCCCUCCUCCCUUUAUCUCUCCCUCCACACUGGGAGGGAUAAAGGGAGGAGGCAGUGUCAUGCGACUCUAACAUGCAGGAGGGGUGAAGUCAGGCGCAGGAGACUCAGGUACGUGGAAAAAACACGUUUUAAUAAACACAGUCCACGAGUGCCGUAAAUACAAGGCAGGGUAAAAAUCAAGCAACAGGCAAGAACCCUAAACGGAGUCAGGACGCAGCCCAGCAAACCCGUGUGCCUCAAACCGAACGGCAGAGUAAAAACUCAAAUACCCAACCUACAAUACAAUGACACAAAUAAUCCCGCACACUCCCAAACCAAAACAGACAGACUAAAUACCCCCACCAAUAACUAACUCAAAACAGGUGCUAACAUAAAACAGACAUCACCAAAUGAAAAUGAAAAGGAGAUCGGUGGCAGCUAGUAGGCCGGCGACGACGACCGCCGAGCGCCGCCCGAACGGGGAGAGGCGCCACCUUCUGUAGACGUUGUGACAGUACCCCCCCUAUACGUGAGGCUCCCGCAGCGCGCCGAUGCCGGCCUCGAGGACGACCCGGGGGGCGAGGCGCAGGGCGAUCCGGAUGGAGGCUGUGGAACUCCCGCAACAGUGAUGGAUCCAAGAUGUCCUCCACCAGUACCCAGCACCUCUCCUCCGGACCGUACCCCUCCCAGUCCACGAGGUACUGCAGGCCCCCUACCCGACGCCUGGAGUCCAAGAUGGACCGGACUGUGUACGCCAGCGCCCCCCCGAUGUCCAGGGGGGGCGGAGGGAACUCCCGCACCUCAGCGUCCUGCAGAGGACCAGCAACCACUGGCCUGAGGAGAGACACAUGAAACGAGGGGUUAAUACGGUAAUACGAAGGGAGCUGUAACCUAUAACACACCUCGUUUAUUCUCCUCAGGACUUUAAACGGCCCCACAAAUCGCAGACCCAACUUCCGGCAGGGCAGGCGGAGUGGCAGGUUCCGGGUUGAGAGCCAGACCCUGUCCCCCGGGGUAAACACGGGGGCCUCACUGCGGCGGCGGUCAGCGCUCUCCUUGUGCCGUCCAACAGCCCGUUUAAGGGAUUCCUGGACGGCACUCCAGGUCUCCUUAGAGCGCUGUACCCAAUCCUCCACCGCAGGAGCCUCAGUCUGGCUCUGAUGCCAGGGCACCAGGACCGGCUGGUAACCCAACACCACCUGAAAGGGCGACAGGUUAGUAGAGGAGUGGCGGAGAGAGUUCUGCGCCAUCUCAGCCCAUGGCACGAACCACGCCCACUCUCCCGGCCGGUCCUGGCAAUAGGACCGCAGAAACCUG